RNAcentral lists this ribosomal RNA (440 nucleotides) under uncultured bacterium. Its description in RNAcentral is "partial 16S ribosomal RNA". It matches the Rfam family "Bacterial small subunit ribosomal RNA", at positions 338 to 795 of the family's 1533-position model. The record is from RNAcentral.
CCUACGGGAGGCAGCAGUGGGGGAUAUUGCACAAUGGAGGAAACCCUGAUGCAGCGACGCCGCGUGUGGGAAGACGGUCCUCUGGAUUGUAAACCACUGUCCCCAGGGACGAAAAUGACGGUACCUGGGGAGGAAGCUCCGGCUAACUACGUGCCAGCAGCCGCGGUAAUACGUAGGGAGCGAGCGUUGUCCGGAAUUACUGGGUGUAAAGGGAGCGUAGGCGGGGAUGCAAGUUGGGUGUAAAAACUACCGGCUCAACUGGUAGUCGCACUCAAAACUGCAGGUCUUGAGUGAAGUAGCGGUAGGCGGAAUGCCUGGUGUAGCGGUGAAAUGCGUAGAUAUUAGGCGGAACACCAGUGGCGAAGGCGGCCUGCUGGGCUUUUACUGACGCUGAGGCUCGAAAGUGUGGGGAGCAAACAGGAUUAGAUACCCUGGUAGUC